RNAcentral lists this unclassified non-coding RNA (406 nucleotides) under Hevea brasiliensis (rubber tree). Lineage: Eukaryota; Viridiplantae; Streptophyta; Magnoliopsida; Malpighiales; Euphorbiaceae. The record is from RNAcentral.
AUACUGGAGAAUGGUACAGCAAAAACUGGGAGAGAAAAAGAAAGAGAAAAAUGAACUCUUGCGAAAACAAAGUUCCUUGUGGAUUGAUGAAGGUCGAUUGAAGGAGAGGAUACAAGAAGCCAUGAUUGAUACCAAACUGUUUUGAGUUCCUUUCAGUUUCAGAUUUUGAAUCUGUCCUUGACAAAAUGAAAAUUGAAACUUAAGAAUCAGUUUAGAAAUAAGCAGGGCUUGGUCCAUCCUUAUGAAGAUUUUGGAGUACAAGGGCAACUCUAGUGUCUUUUGGGAGUAGUCUAUGUUUCUGAAUUGUUGAGUUGAUGUUUUUGUCCUGAUAUUAACAAUCUUUACCAUAUCCAUUUACAAGUCCAUUGUAGUGAAUGGUAAAGAUUGUUAAUAUCAGGACAAAAAC